Molecule: long non-coding RNA, 329 nt
Organism: Saccostrea cuccullata (small rock oyster)
Lineage: Eukaryota; Metazoa; Mollusca; Bivalvia; Ostreida; Ostreidae
Exons: 3
Source: RefSeq, a predicted model, not a curated record
GGCCUCUUAAAUUAACAAGCAACUUAUUGCAGGUCAAAAUAUGGUUAAUCAGAGAAACUUAAACAAUUCAAAAAACUUCAGAGGCAGGUACAGAGGCAGAGCACAAGGUUCAUACAGAGGGGGAAGAAAUGGACGGUCAAGAGGCUACAGGGGAACAGCCCCAAGAAAGACAUAUCAAGGAUACUGAAUUUUAAUUGGAAGAAUUCUGCAAAAACUGGAGGAAGACAAGAAGAGAUUUAUCAAAUUCCUUUGCUGAUACUGUGUUGCGAGCUUCUUCUUCAUAAUAGUGGAAUUCUCAUCCUUGAUCUUGGGGGACAUUCAAGUAGGAU